GUGAUGGCCAUCUGGGAUGACUCAACAUCCAUGUCGGGGAUUGCUGAAUGUACCACAUGCAUCUCUAACUGUCACAUGCCGUAGGAUGCCAGGCUCAGACAGAUGCAGGACAAAAGGUGCUGUUGUUUACCACUAUGUUCCCUCUCUCCUGCCCUCCCUUCAUCCUCCUAUCCUCUGUUUGCCUCUACGGGAGACAGGCCCCUUCCUGCUUCAGUCAAGCGGGCACCGCGUUGCUGAUCUGAAUGUGAUGGCAGAGAGAGAGAGAGAGAGAAAAAAAAAUGAAGGCGGGUGGGUGGGUUUGUGGAGAUUGAGGGCUGUGGUGGGUCAGAACCCAACAAGCUGUGCUGGGAGGCUGUGCUCUCUGUAUCUCUCCUUCUUUCUCCCAGCACCAGGUGGUGUGUUGCCUGUUUCCACCUGCUCACCUGAAAUGCCACCGUGCCUCUCCUGGACAAUCACCAUGUGUCAUGCAGAUUACUUACCAACACAAGGCAGAGAGGCAGACGUGUGUAGGACACUGAGCGACAUGCUUUAGCCACCCCACGGACAUCCUAUGGAAAACUCAAACCAGACAGCUGAACUGCUGUUUUGACGACUGUUUGAUUUUCUCAGUGACUCAGUCUCAGCAUCACUGCUAUAUCCUGUCUGUGUGUUGUGGGACUCCAGGUUCCUGCAGUCUUGGAACAUGACUACAAGUGUUUCCUGCUUCACUUCCUGAGUACAGAGCUCUUGGUGGCAGUGGCGGCGAGGGCGGGGUUAGAGAUUGAAGACACUCUGUACUGAGCAAGCUCUGCCAUCAUGCCAUAUAUCUCCCUGUGACUCAUUUAUUACAUCUGCCUAUGUUAAUGGCAGGAACACAACGGCGAGCAAACAAAGAGCACAUGCCAGUCACCGCAUAGGACCAUGGAACCAGAGAGGAUGUAAUGAGGCCACCAGUUAGUGACACCUGAACAGAGUCCUCUGCUGGAUCAGACCAUCAGCACUUUCUAAUCAGACUUUCAAUUUCAAAAAUAGCACCUAUGUAAAUCGUAAAUCUUUCUCCGGAGUACGCCAGGCUUUUGUGUUUCCCCUUCUCUAAUUGUGCUGUGUCUCUGGAUCAUAAAUCUCUCAGGGAAGAGCCAUUAGCAAAAAUGGCUGGCAGAGACCCCGCCACAGGGACGCGGCUGUUCCAUUCACACUGAGAGGAUGUCCAGAUACUGACUCGAGACACAAGUGUAUGCAGUGGCAGUCCAUUCAGCGGGGUCAGAUGACAGCAUGUCUGGCUUGGCAGCCUCGCUUUUCAUGUCAGCAG
This is a long non-coding RNA of Epinephelus fuscoguttatus (brown-marbled grouper), 1288 nucleotides long. RefSeq lists it as uncharacterized. The transcript is spliced from 3 exons. The record is from RefSeq and is a predicted model, not a curated record. Lineage: Eukaryota; Metazoa; Chordata; Actinopteri; Perciformes; Serranidae.